GGCGAACGGGUGAGUAACACGUGGGCAACCUGCCCAAAAGAGGGGGAUAACACUUGGAAACAGGUGCUAAUACCGCAUAACCAUAGUUACCGCAUGGUAACUAUGUAAAAGGUGGCUAUGCUACCGCUUUUGGAUGGGCCCGCGGCGCAUUAGCUAGUUGGUGGGGUAAAGGCUUACCAAGGCAAUGAUGCGUAGCCGAACUGAGGGGUUGAUCGGCCACAUUGGGACUGAGACACGGCCCAAACUCCUACGGGAGGCAGCAGUAGGGAAUCUUCCACAAUGGGCGAAAGCCUGAUGGAGCAACGCCGCGUGGGUGAAGAAGGUCUUCGGAUCGUAAAACCCUGUUGUUAGAGAAGAAAGUGCGUGAGAGUAACUGUUCACGUUUCGACGGUAUCUAACCAGAAAGCCACGGCUAACUACGUGCCAGCAGCCGCGGUAAUACGUAGGUGGCAAGCGUUAUCCGGAUUUAUUGGGCGUAAAGGGAACGCAGGCGGUCUUUUAAGUCUGAUGNGAAAGCCUUCGGCUUAACCGGAGUAGUGCAUUGGAAACUGGGAGACUUGAGUGCAGAAGAGGAGAGUGGAACUCCAUGUGUAGCGGUGAAAUGCGUAGAUAUAUGGAAGAACACCAGUGGCGAAAGCGGCUCUCUGGUCUGU
RNAcentral lists this ribosomal RNA (653 nucleotides) under uncultured bacterium. RNAcentral describes it as "bacterial SSU rRNA". It matches the Rfam family "Bacterial small subunit ribosomal RNA", at positions 97 to 737 of the family's 1533-position model. The record is from RNAcentral.